Molecule: ribosomal RNA, 489 nt
Filed under: uncultured bacterium
Lineage: Bacteria
Description: partial 16S ribosomal RNA
Rfam family: Bacterial small subunit ribosomal RNA
Source: RNAcentral
AUUGAACGCUGGCGGCAUGCUUUACACAUGCAAGUCGAACGGCAGCGGGGUAGUGCUUGCACUACUGCCGGCGAGUGGCGAACGGGUGAGUAAUAUAUCGGAACGUACCGAGUAAUGGGGGAUAACCAAUCGAAAGAUUGGCUAAUACCGCAUACGUCCUGAGGGAGAAAGCGGGGGAUCGCAAGACCUCGCGUUAUUCGAGCGGCCGAUAACUGAUUAGCUAGUUGGUGGGGUAAAGGCCUACCAAGGCGACGAUCAGUAGCGGGUCUGAGAGGACGAUCCGCCACACUGGGACUGAGACACGGCCCAGACUCCUACGGGAGGCAGCAGUGGGGAAUUUUGGACAAUGGGGGCAACCCUGAUCCAGCCAUGCCGCGUGGAUGAAGAAGGCCUUCGGGUUGUAAAGUACUUUUGUUAGGGAAGAAAAGGGAAGUGCUAAUACCACUUUUUGCUGACGGUACCUAAAGAAUAAGCACCGGCUAACUACGU